This 94-nucleotide transfer RNA is filed under the name Rattus norvegicus (Norway rat). It matches the Rfam family "tRNA". From Rfam's summary of the family: Transfer RNA (tRNA) molecules are approximately 80 nucleotides in length. Lineage: Eukaryota; Metazoa; Chordata; Mammalia; Rodentia; Muridae. The record is from Rfam by way of RNAcentral.
GCUCCAGUGGCGCAAUCGGUUAGCGCGCGGUACUUAUAUGUCAGUGCUAGGCGAAGCGAUGCCGAGGUUGUGAGUUCGAUCCUCACCUGGAGCA